Molecule: non-coding RNA, 99 nt
Organism: Acanthosepion pharaonis
Lineage: Eukaryota; Metazoa; Mollusca; Cephalopoda; Sepiida; Sepiidae
Source: the annotation of a GenBank genome assembly
GCUGAAAUACCGGUUCCCGUAUGAUCAUCAAAGUUAAGCAAAGUCGAGGCUGGUUAGUACUUAUAUGGGUGACCGCUUGGGAAUCCCAUGUGCUGUAAG